UGGGUUGUGGCUCAGUGGUAGAGCACUUGCCUCGCAUGUGUGAGGCCCUGGGUUCAAUUCUCAGCACUGCAU
Molecule: transfer RNA, 72 nt
Filed under: Ictidomys tridecemlineatus (thirteen-lined ground squirrel)
Lineage: Eukaryota; Metazoa; Chordata; Mammalia; Rodentia; Sciuridae
Description: Spermophilus tridecemlineatus (thirteen-lined ground squirrel) tRNA
Rfam family: tRNA
About the family: Transfer RNA (tRNA) molecules are approximately 80 nucleotides in length.
Source: Rfam by way of RNAcentral